UGCUAUACUAGUAAAGAGAGAGAGAGUGGAGAGAGAGAGGGGGGUAAAGGAGAUGUUGUCAGAGUGUGAUGUUGCUAUACUAGUAAAGAGAGAGAGAGUGGAGAGAGAGAGGGGGGUAAAGGAGAUGUUGUCAGAGUGUGAUGUUGCUAUACUAGUAAAGAGAGAGAGAGUGGAGAGAGAGAGAGUGGAGAGAGAGAGGGGGGUAAAGGAGAUGUUGUCAGAGUGUGAUGUUGCUGUACUAGUAAAGAGAGAGAGAGUGGAGAGAGAGAGGGGGAGAGAGAGGGGGGUAAAGGAGAUGUUGUCAGAGUGUGAUGUCGCUGUACUAGUAAAGAGAGAGAGAGUGGAGAGAGAGAGUGGAGAGAGAGGGGGGGUAAAGGAGAUGUUGUCAGAGUGUGAUGUUGCUGUACUAGUAAAGAGAGAGAGAGUGGAGAGAGAGAGGGGGGUAAAGGAGAUGUUGUCAGAGUGUGAUGUUGCUGUACUAGUAAAGAGAGAGAGAGUGGAGAGAGAGAGGGGGUAAAGGAGAUGUUGUCAGAGUGUGAUGUUGCUGUACUAGUAAAGAGAGAGAGAGUGGAGAGAGGGGGGGUAAAGGAGAUGUUGUCAGAGUGUGAUGUUGCUGUACUAGUAAAGAGAGAGAGAGUGGAGAGAGAGAGAGUGGAGAGAGAGGGGUAAAGGAGAUGUUGUCAGAGUGUGAUGUUGCUGUACUAGUAAAGAGAGAGAGAGUGGAGAGAGAGCGGGGGUAAAGGAGAUGUUGUCAGAGUGUGAUGUUGCUGUACUAGUAAAGAAAGAGAGAGUGGAGAGAGAGGGGGGUAAAGGAGAUGUUGUCAGAGUGUGAUGUCGCUGUACUAGUAAAGAGAGAGAGAGUGGAGAGAGAGAGAGUGGAGAGAGAGGGGGUAAAGGAGAUGUUGUCAGAGUGUGAUGUCGCUGUACUAGUAAAGAGAGAGAGAGUGGAGAGAGAGAGUGGAGAGAGAGGGGGGGUAAAGGAGAUGUUGUCAGAGUGUGAUGUUGCUGUACUAGUAAAGAGAGAGAGAGUGGAGAGAGAGAGGGGGGUAAAGGAGAUGUUGUCAGAGUGUGAUGUUGCUGUACUAGUAAAGAGAGAGAGAGUGGAGAGAGAGAGGGGGGGUAAAGGAGAUGUUGUCAGAGUGUGAUGUUGCUGUACUAGUAAAGAGAGAGAGAGUGGAGAGAGAGGGGGGUAAAGGAGAUGUUGUCAGAGUGUGAUGUUGCUGUACUAGUAAAGAGAGAGAGAGUGGAGAGAGAGAGGAGAGAGAGGGGUAAAGGAGAUGUUGUCAGAGUGUGAUGUUGCUGUACUAGUAAAGAGAGAGAGAGUGGAGAGAGAGCGGGGGUAAAGGAGAUGUUGUCAGAGUGUGAUGUUGCUGUACUAGUAAAGAAAAAGAGAGUGGAGAGAGAGAGAGUGGAGAGAGAGGGGGGUAAAGGAGAUGUUGUCAGAGUGUGAUGUUGCUGUACUAGUAAAGAGAGAGAGAGUGGAGAGAGAGUGGGGGUAAAGGAGAUGUUGUCAGAGUGUGAUGUUGCUGUACUAGUAAAGAGAGAGAGAGUGGAGAGAGAGAGUGGUAAAGGAGAUGUUGUCAGAGUGUGAUGUCGCUGUACUAGUAAAGAGAUACAUUAGCUAGCUCUUCCUCUUCCUUUCCGUUUAACAACAGUCAUAGCAUGAGGUCAUAGCAGCCAGCCGACCCGACCCAUUACUGACUCAUGACGUAGUGGGACUGUAACGCUGUUGCCGACUGUUUGGCCUAUUUAAGCAGGGCCGUAAUUUUAACAUCUCCCUCAUGGGCCCGUUUCAUCUCCCUGGGAGGAGCGCUAGCUGGCAUUUUCAUACCUUUUGUUAGCGGUGAAUGAUGUCAUAUCAUAGUUCUCAAUAAUGACAGAGCUCAAGAUUCAAGGGUUGAUCCUUACUGUAUGUCUGUGUGUAGUGGGGUCAGUAAUGAUAGAACAGGAGUUGAGGUCUGGGUUGUGUGUGUGUGUGUGUGUGUGUGUGUGUGUGUGUGUGUGUGUGUGUGUGUGUGUGUGUGUGUGUGUGUGUGUGUGUGUGUGUGUGUGUGUGUGUGUGUGUGUGUGUGUGUGUGUAAGUGUGUAAGUGCAUGCAUUGCUUUACCUUCAUGUAGAGUAUGACUGCGUCAGCAGAGAGGACCUUUAAGUAAGGUAAAUGUCUGAUGUUUGCAGGCAGAUGCGAAAGAGUCAGUUGUGACGUAACAGCUACUUCUCACUGUCCUGUGGUUUGAAGGAUGUGUGUGUGUGUGAAUAUGUGUGUUUGUAAAUACAUGAGUAGAUGUGUGCUGGUAGUUAACACCAUGCUGUUUGGGAAUGUAGUGAGGUAAACGAGUACGAGCAAUUGUCAGCCAGUCCAUAUGCUCAUUAAAGGUUGUGGCGUCAUUACUACCGCUUUUAUACAGACGUACAGUACAUUCGAUAAUGUAUAACACACAUUGAACAGUGGGGGGCACACACACACACACACACACAAACGCACACAGUAAGCUAGCUCAUCAGCAGUACGGCCUUCAGAUGGACACCUGUCACAGCGGUGCAUCGCCGGAGCAUUAACAGGCAGGAAUGACGAUGGGAGCCGAUGGUUCCCAGCCUCCCUCCUGGCCCCGGGCCCUGGACCCUGGCAUCUGCUGGGCUGGAGACAGGGUGUGAAGUUUCCCCCCUGAAGGUGAGACUUUUCCAGCUCCGCUUCCUGUCUGGGAGCCUGGUGCAUCAAGGACAGGAAGGGUCCUGCUGUGCUACGGCUCUUAUCAUCACACACAAACAUCUACGCUAAUCCUACAUUCAGCUAGGAGAGGAUUUUGUGAACAAGAUGUUUUUGUUGUUGUUGUGCGUAUGAUUGAUUGUUUGGGGGCAGUAACAGCAUUGCCUGUAAUUAUAGGCCUACAUCAUUACCAUACAUGCU
This 2905-nucleotide long non-coding RNA is filed under the name Salmo salar (Atlantic salmon). RNAcentral's name for it is "lncRNA (ENSSSAG00000108944.1)". The record is from RNAcentral. Lineage: Eukaryota; Metazoa; Chordata; Actinopteri; Salmoniformes; Salmonidae.